GUUUGAUCCUGGCUCAGAUUGAACGCUGGCGGCAGGCCUGACACAUGCAAGUCGAGCGGUAGAGAGAAGCUUGCUUCUCUUGAGAGCGGCGGACGGGUGAGUAAUGCCUAGGAAUCUGCCUGGUAGUGGGGGAUAACGUUCGGAAACGGACGCUAAUACCGCAUACGUCCUACGGGAGAAAGCAGGGGACCUUCGGGCCUUGCGCUAUCAGAUGAGCCUAGGUCGGAUUAGCUAGUUGGUGAGGUAAUGGCUCACCAAGGCGACGAUCCGUAACUGGUCUGAGAGGAUGAUCAGUCACACUGGAACUGAGACACGGUCCAGACUCCUACGGGAGGCAGCAGUGGGGAAUAUUGGACAAUGGGCGAAAGCCUGAUCCAGCCAUGCCGCGUGUGUGAAGAAGGUCUUCGGAUUGUAAAGCACUUUAAGUUGGGAGGAAGGGUUGUAGAUUAAUACUCUGCAAUUUUGACGUUACCGACAGAAUAAGCACCGGCUAACUCUGUGCCAGCAGCCGCGGUAAUACAGAGGGUGCAAGCGUUAAUCGGAAUUACUGGGCGUAAAGCGCGCGUAGGUGGUUUGUUAAGUUGGAUGUGACCUCCCCGGGCUCAACCUGGGAACUGCAUUCAAAACUGACUGACUAGAGUAUGGUAGAGGGUGGUGAAAUUUCCUGUGUAGCGGCGCCCCGCAAAAAUCUAGGGGUCCCCACCGGUGGUGAAAUCUCUCACGGGUGUAAUACUAGAGGGUGAUGUGCUGUGUGUGCUCACAAACUGUACACAUACGCUGGAAUACACGCCGAGGAGCCAUCUCCCCGCUGUCGCUACUUCGUACUUCUACUGCUGCGCCUCGCUACAGUAGUACAUCCCACCGCCUGCUACCUACGCUAGCUAGAUCUAAUAUCAGAGUGCACUUGCUCGGCGCCGCAGUGCAUUCGCACUAUAAUACAUACACGCCACGUGCGAUACCGACCUGGACUAGAAAUCAGUCUCCUCUAAAGUAAGCUGCGCUGAGGAACAUGAACCGUGACUGUCGCUCAACGUAUAGUCAGAAUUGCUAACUCCGCUACACAGAAUGACUGCUAAAUACGAACUGUCCGG
This 1091-nucleotide ribosomal RNA is filed under the name uncultured bacterium. RNAcentral's name for it is "bacterial SSU rRNA". The stretch from base 1 to 840 matches the Rfam family "Bacterial small subunit ribosomal RNA", at positions 11 to 873 of the family's 1533-position model. The record is from RNAcentral.